RNAcentral lists this ribosomal RNA (507 nucleotides) under uncultured bacterium. RNAcentral's name for it is "partial 16S ribosomal RNA". It matches the Rfam family "Bacterial small subunit ribosomal RNA", at positions 28 to 507 of the family's 1533-position model. The record is from RNAcentral.
GACGAACGCUGGCGGCGUGCCUAAUACAUGCAAGUCGAACGCAUUUUCUUUCACCGUAGCUUGCUACACCGAAAGAAAAUGAGUGGCGAACGGGUGAGUAACACGUGGGUAACCUGCCCAUCAGCGGGGGAUAACACUUGGAAACAGGUGCUAAUACCGCAUAAUUCCAUUUACCGCAUGGUAAAUGGAUGAAAGGCGCUUUUGCGUCACUGAUGGAUGGACCCGCGGUGCAUUAGCUAGUUGGUGGGGUAACGGCCUACCAAGGCUGCGAUGCAUAGCCGACCGGAGAGGGUGAUCGGCCACACUGGGACUGAGACACGGCCCAGACUCCUACGGGAGGCAGCAGUAGGGAAUCUUCGGCAAUGGACGCAAGUCUGACCGAGCAACGCCGCGUGAGUGAAGAAGGUUUUCGGAUCGUAAAACUCUGUUGUUAGAGAAGAUCAAGGAUGAGAGUGGAAAGUUCAUCCCUUGACGGUAUCUAACCAGAAAGCCACGGCUAACUACGUG